AUAUUGCACAAUGGGGGAAACCCUGAUGCAGCGACGCAGCGUGCGGGAUGACGGCCUUCGGGUUGUAAACCGCUUUCAGCAGGGAAGAAGCGAAAGUGACGGUACCUGCAGAAGAAGUACCGGCUAACUACGUGCCAGCAGCCGCGGUAAUACGUAGGGUACGAGCGUUGUCCGGAAUUAUUGGGCGUAAAGAGCUCGUAGGUGGUUGGUCACGUCUGCUGUGGAAACGCAACGCUUAACGUUGCGCGGGCAGUGGGUACGGGCUGACUAGAGUGCAGUAGGGGAGUCUGGAAUUCCUGGUGUAGCGGUGAAAUGCGCAGAUAUCAGGAGGAACACCGGUGGCGAAGGCGGGACUCUGGGCUGUAACUGACACUGAGGAGCGAAAGCAUGGGGAGCGAACAGGAUUAGAUACCCUGGUAGUCCAUGCCGUAAACGUUGGGCACUAGGUGUGGGGGACAUUCCACGUUCUCCGCGCCGUAGCUAACGCAUUAAGUGCCCCGCCUGGGGAGUACGGUCGCAAGGCUAAAACUCAAAGGAAUUGACGGGGCCCCCCC
RNAcentral lists this ribosomal RNA (554 nucleotides) under Brevibacterium sp. RNAcentral's name for it is "bacterial SSU rRNA". It matches the Rfam family "Bacterial small subunit ribosomal RNA", at positions 361 to 925 of the family's 1533-position model. The record is from RNAcentral. Lineage: Bacteria; Bacillati; Actinomycetota; Actinomycetes; Micrococcales; Brevibacteriaceae.